AUCGCGGCGGCCGACGGCGUCGGCGGCGCGGAGCUCUGCCAGAGCGCCGCGGCCCUGGCCCUGGGGGCCGUGGUCGCCGCCCGGCCGCAGCACC
This 94-nucleotide transfer RNA is filed under the name Nonomuraea glycinis. Its description in RNAcentral is "tRNA-Gly". Lineage: Bacteria; Bacillati; Actinomycetota; Actinomycetes; Streptosporangiales; Streptosporangiaceae. The record is from RNAcentral.